This 410-nucleotide ribosomal RNA is filed under the name uncultured microorganism. RNAcentral's name for it is "bacterial SSU rRNA". It matches the Rfam family "Archaeal small subunit ribosomal RNA", at positions 330 to 745 of the family's 1478-position model. The record is from RNAcentral.
GCGCAGCAGUCGCGAAUACUUUACAAUGUGCGAAAGCACGAUAAGGGAACUCUGAGUGCCUCCUAAGGAGGCUGUUCAGGUGUCUAAAAGCACCUGAAGGAAGGGCUGGGUAAGACCGGUGCCAGCCGCCGCGGUAACACCGGCAGCCCAAGUGGUAGCCACGUUUAUUGGGUCUAAAGCGUCCGUAGCCGGCUGGGUAAGUUCCUUGGGAAAUUUGGCUGCUUAACAGUCAAGCUUUCAGGGAAUACUGCCCGGCUUGGGGACCGGGAGAGGUCAGAGGUACUCCAGGGGUAGGGGUGAAAUCCAUUAAUCCUUGGGGGACCACCGGUAGCGAAGGCGUCUGACCAGACCGGGUCCGACGGUGAGGGACGAAGGCUAGGGGCGCGAACCGGAUUAGAUACCCGUGUAGU